CCUACGGGUGGCAGCAGUAGGGAAUUUUGCUCAAUGGGGGAAACCCUGACGCAGCAACGCCGCGUGAUCGAUGAAGCCCUUCGGGGUGUAAAGAUCUUUCAGUGGGGACGAAACCUGACGGUACCCACAGAUGAAGCACCGGCUAACUCCGUGCCAGCAGCCCCGGUAAUACGGGGGGUGCAAGCGUUGUCCGGAAUCAUUGGGCGUAAAGGGGGCGUGGGGGGCACGUUAAGUCUGGGGUUAAAGGCGGAGGCUCAACCUCCGUAGGGCAGUGGAAACGGGUUAGCUAGAGUGUGGUAGAGGUAGGUGUAAUUCUGGGUGUAGCGGUGAAAUGCGUAGAUAUCAAGAGGAACAGCGAUGGCGAAGGC
This 368-nucleotide ribosomal RNA is filed under the name uncultured bacterium. Its description in RNAcentral is "partial 16S ribosomal RNA". It matches the Rfam family "Bacterial small subunit ribosomal RNA", at positions 338 to 722 of the family's 1533-position model. The record is from RNAcentral.